Long non-coding RNA from Setaria italica (foxtail millet), 894 nucleotides. RefSeq lists it as uncharacterized. Lineage: Eukaryota; Viridiplantae; Streptophyta; Magnoliopsida; Poales; Poaceae. The record is from RefSeq and is a predicted model, not a curated record. The transcript has 3 exons.
CUUUCUCUUUAUUUAUUUACUCCCUUACCACAUCAUCUUUUAUCUAAUUGACGGUUCGUUUAAUUCUAUGAACAUCAUCCUGAUCAUUGGGUUGGGACCGUCGUGGCAGGUACUGAAAGCCCUUCUUCCGCCGCUUUUCCAUGGUUCCAAUACAAUCUCUCAUUCUCCCCACCUCGGGGCGUCGUUGACCCACAACGGCCACCUCCCUCCGUACACUGUGUACACAUGUCAGCGCUGGAAAAGAGUGGAGUGGAAGCCCUCGUCGCACCAGCACCGACAGUUCCGCUCGCAAGCACGGCGAAGCGGUGGCCUCAGGUGGUGGCCGUCGAGCCGGUGAGCUACUCCUGGAGUCCUGGUGCGCGAAGCAACGGCUUCAGGACCAGCAUAGGACAGGGCGCGCAGGCCUCGCCGGGUCUGUGUAGCGCCCACCAACUGUUCGCUAUUUUGCUUCACAGAGGUUAAGAAGAUAGCUGUCUUACCAAAACAAGAUCCGCAUCUCGCAGAAACUCUAGCUGUAAACAUACUAGAGGAAAUCAAGAUUCAGCAACACUCAUGUCAUUUCAAGGGGCACAGAGCUCAGAUUUAGGUACUCGUUGUCUCCAGUGUCGUUGCUAUACCUGAUCAAGAACUCUGGAGUGAGUGACCGACCUCCCGGUGGCCGUGCAAGAGGCCACAUGAUAUUUUGCCCCUUUCUUGAAAUGACUUGGCCACACGACUUGCAACGUCUCUAGCCCUAUCUAUGCAUAGCAUAUCAUGCAUGUGGUACAGGAGCCCGUUGGCCUUUGUGUAGUCGGUACUGCAUGGUGAAAAUUUACCCAACGAUUGAAUUUUUAUCUUGUGAGCUCGAGACAUUCAGAUAUCACUAGAAAACUGAAAGAUGGCCCUCCAUCCCCA